Molecule: long non-coding RNA, 1908 nt
Organism: Poecilia reticulata (guppy)
Lineage: Eukaryota; Metazoa; Chordata; Actinopteri; Cyprinodontiformes; Poeciliidae
Source: RefSeq, a predicted model, not a curated record
AGGCGAGAGCGGUCCAUGAGGCGUCUAUUCUUAUAUUAUGUCUAUGGUUAGGGUAACAUGUAAACAAAUGGAAGUACCAGCGAAAGUCGCGCCCAUAAUUCACGCAAAGCAUCAUGGGGCAUAGGAAUAAGGUGGAUACCUACCUGUAGUUACCUUUAGCUUCCUGUAGCUACCCGUGGCUUCCUGUGCCUACCGUUAGCUUGCUGUAGCUAUCUUCAGCUUCCUGUAGCUACCUGUAGUUAAAUGUUACUUCCUGUAGUUAUCUGUAGAUUCCUGUAGUUAUCUUUAGCUUCCUGUAGUUAUCUGUAGUUACCUUUACCUUACUGAUGGUUGCUACACGUAGUUACCUGUAUCUGCUUGUAGUUACUUGUAUCUUGCUAUCGUUACUUGUAUCUACCUGUAGUUACCUUUAGCUUCUUGCAGCUUCGUGUAGUUACGAGGUCCCUGUAUCUUCCUGUAGUUACUUGUAGUUACCUGUAGGUACCUGUAUCUUUUUGCUGUUACCUGCUUCUACCUGUAUUUACUUGUAGUUACCGUUAUCUACCAGUAGUUACCUGUAUCUUCCUGUCGCUAGUUGUAGUUAUGUGUAGUUACUUAUAGUUACCUGUAUUUUUUGUAGUUACCUGUAGUUUACUGUAUCUCCCUGUAAUUUUAUUUCCCUGUAGUUACCUGUUUCUACCUGCAGUUACACAUAGUUACUUUUAGUUAUCAGUAUCUCACAGUAGUUACUUGUAUCUUCCUGUAGUUACCUGUAGUUACCUGUAGUUACCUGUAGUUACCUGUAGUUACCUGUAGUAACCCGUCUCUCAAGUCCCCACCGUUGAUCUGUAAAAAUCAGUCUGUUUUUCCUCUCUUUGACCUUUGACCCUGGAACAUUCCUGCAGCUGAGGGGAACGCCGACCUAAAAAUACCCAGAGCUCUCCAUGAUCCAGAGCCGCUCCACCUCUGCCCGCGCUGCCGUCAGCUGUUCGUUCCCAUGGCAACAGCUACUCCCAGCCGGACAGAACGUUGUAUUUUUGCCCACUGAACCCAGACAGAACCGCUUUCGGGUCGGCCCGGAUUCAGCUGACUUCAUGCAGAAAUAACCUGAUUAUGAGCUCCGUUCCAGCAUACUGGCCCUCGGAUUCCUGAUCCUGUAAGCAGCAGAAACUGACGGAUCAUUAAUCAGAUUCCUGCUCUAAGCCGAGCUCCACCUGCAGAGCCAAAGUUCAGCGCUUUGUUCAGGUUCUGCUGCCCGUCAAUAUUUACUUAGAACUGAAUCAUGGAGCGUUUCAGAGCCGUCAGCUGGUUCUUAUGGUAAACUCAGAGAAUCUGGAGCAGCACUCACCUUCUUCCCAUAAGAAGCUCCCAUUAUUCCCAGUAGGAGCGACGCCCCUCUGAUCUUUCCUGUUCUGCAGCCUGACAGACGGAGCUCUGGGUUCGGUUAGCCCACCAGCGAGUCAGGCGGACUACUGAACUUCAUCCCAACCGGCAGCAGAGCAGAGAUCAGCUGGACUGAGCAAGGAGAGAGUGAGGAGGAAGAGGAGGAGCAGCAGCCACCUGUUCCUGUCUGACUCUCAGCUGUGAGGAGUUAAAGUGGGAUUACGGUAAUCCCAGCAGACAGGAAGCCAGAGAGCAGAAGGUUCCUCACAUCUCCUCCAACCAGGAUGGAGACGGGAUUCUUCAUCCCAGCAGGUCCGAGUUUCCCUCCAUCCACGGCUCUGGGAUGUACUGGAGGAACUGGGAGGCGAACUGGUUUCAUCAAAUGAACAAGACGGGACGAUUUGAUGAAACCAGUUCCUCUGCCUGGAGGACCAGAGAGGAGACAUGGAACUACACUGCAAAAACUAAAUCUAGUUUCAACUUCAAAAAUCUUAGUUCCCUUUAAAUCAGACAAAACUAAGUUACAAUAAAGUAAGUUUCACUUGG